RNAcentral lists this ribosomal RNA (388 nucleotides) under uncultured bacterium. Its description in RNAcentral is "bacterial SSU rRNA". It matches the Rfam family "Bacterial small subunit ribosomal RNA", at positions 28 to 418 of the family's 1533-position model. The record is from RNAcentral.
GACGAACGCUGGCGGCGUGCUUAACACAUGCAAGUCGAGCGGUAAGGCCCUUUCGGGGGUACACGAGCGGCGAACGGGUGAGUAACACGUGGGUGACCGCCCUUAGCUCUGGGAUAAGCCUGGGAAACUGGGUCUAAUACCGGAUAUGACUCCAUGACGCAUGUUGUGGGGUGGAAAGCCUUGUGCGGCUAGGGAUGGGCCCGCGGCCUAUCAGCUUGUUGGUGGGGUGAUGGCCUACCAAGGCGACGACGGGUAGCCGGCCUGAGGGGGUGACCGGCCACACUGGGACUGAGACACGGCCCAGACUCCUACGGGAGGCAGCAGUGGGGAAUAUUGGACAAUGGGCGAAAGCCUGAUCCAGCAACGCCGCGUGAGGGAUGACGGCCUU